RNAcentral lists this long non-coding RNA (218 nucleotides) under Olea europaea (common olive). RNAcentral's name for it is "long non-coding RNA (OEUR_LNC010598)". Lineage: Eukaryota; Viridiplantae; Streptophyta; Magnoliopsida; Lamiales; Oleaceae. The record is from RNAcentral.
UCAAGUCACAACAUUGGGUGGGGUUAGGUGAACCAUAUCCUCACAUUCUUCACCUUGGUUCUCCUAACACUCUCUCUUGGUUGCGAAUUUGCACAUGGAAGAACUGUUCAUCAUCAUCGCCCACCACCUGCAAGAAAAUUAACCAGUGUCAAUGUGUAAUAAAGAUAAGCACAAUCUAAAUUUACUUGCAGGUAGAAUUUUUGUUCCCAUAUCAGAGG